AUUGAACGCUGGCGGCAUGCUUUACACAUGCAAGUCGAACGGCAGCGCGGGCUUCGGCCUGGCGGCGAGUGGCGAACGGGUGAGUAAUACAUCGGAACGUGCCCAGUAGUGGGGGAUAGCUCGGCGAAAGCCGGAUUAAUACCGCAUACGACCUGAGGGUGAAAGCGGGGGAUCUUCGGACCUCGCGCUCUUGGAGCGGCCGAUGGCAGAUUAGCUAGUUGGUGGGGUAAAGGCCUACCAAGGCGACGAUCUGUAGCUGGUCUGAGAGGACGACCAGCCACACGGGGACUGAGACACGGCCCAGACUCCUACGGGAGGCAGCAGUGGGGAAUUUUGGACAAGGGGCGAAGGCCUAAUCCAGCAAUGCCGCGUGUGUGAUGAAGGCCUUCGGGUUGUAAAGCACUUUUGGCGGGAACGAAAAGGACUGUGCCAAUACCACGGUUCGAUGACGGUACCCGCAGAAUAAGCACCGGCUAACUACGU
Molecule: ribosomal RNA, 483 nt
Filed under: uncultured bacterium
Lineage: Bacteria
Description: partial 16S ribosomal RNA
Rfam family: Bacterial small subunit ribosomal RNA
Source: RNAcentral